UUUUUUAUUUCUUACCUCUGAGAUAAUCCACAGUGGCAUUCAGAUUUCAGUACAAGCUAUCAUCUUACUGCUUUACAGAUGGUGUCGCAGCAUAAAGUAGACGCCCUUCAGGAAGAGACCAUUUAUAUGAAUGUUUAGUGGAACAAUUUAUUUGCUGGGUAACAUGAAACACACUUUGGUAAGGAAGUGUAUUAUUUUAUAGACCGCAUGUGAGUUCAUCCUAUCUGUCAAAUAGAUUUUGAAUUUUUUACCAGCUCAUCCAGAUAUCGUUGCUUUUAGAAAUGUGGCCAAACCUGUUUCAUCACAUAACCAACAGCAUUCCUAACAUGCAAGCAAACAUGAAAUGAAAACAAUUUAAAACACUUGUACUGAAAACAGUCGCUCAUUCCGAUAGGUAUCGAGAAGAGACAAUAAGCUGCGGUUGGUCCAUUGAAGGGAUGUGAUAAGAUUUUAGAGUUUAAGGGACAUUGUGAUAUUUGAGGCCCACUUCUUGCUCUGUUGUGCUUUUGUCCUUGUGGGAGGAUCAUUCCACAGGAGGUUGUCUCAGUCAGGACAGCAACAGGAAAUUUUUGAAGAAAGUUGUUCUGGAGGACAAACUGAAAAAGGAAUACCGUGGUAAUCCACCAUGACUUCUUGGACUUGCAGAUCCAAGAACUGAAAAAUAAUCUCCAGACUCAAGAAGAUAUUAACAAAAAACUUGCAGAGAUUAUUCAGAACAUCGCAUCAAAGCAAGUUUCCUGGACUGAAGUCGGGCAACGUAGACUUUUUGACCUCACAACGCAUAUUCCAGAAAAGAAAGCAGAAACAGAAAACCAAAAGGCUAAUUACGACUCCGCCAGACACGUCUCCAAAGCCAAGGAAGCAGACACACUGAAACGGGAUGUUAUAACAGAGCCAGAGGCUACGAUCCUACACAUGCAAGAAGACUCACCUUGCGGAACGACGAUGAAUGGAGAUGCCUUGAUGGCAGGCCAGCCUGCAUUCAUUAACCCCAUCCGGUCACCCGGAGUCAGAGUUGCCCAGUCAACGAAGAAGGACCAUCAAAGAACCACGCGACCACAUCUACUCAAAGAGUGUCCUGUGUGCUUCCUUUUAUUCCCAGAAAAUAUUUAUGCAUUAGAAAUAAAUCGUCACAUCAAUAGACACUUUUCUGAUAUGAACUGAGCGAACAUCCUCAUAAUAAUGUAUGGCAUUCAAGGACAGAUUACCUAUCAUGAUUAUGUGACAAUGUAUCGUUUAAAUGUUUUGAGUUUUUACAAACAGUUUGCAUCGAGGUAGUUUGCUUUGUUGCAAAUCUCCUGCACAGUAAUUAUACAAAAAAUAAAUAAAUAUCCCCCGAUUAAUCGAAAGCGAGCUGUACGAUUUCCAAAAAAAUAUUUACACAUGUCCAUUGUCAAUAGCAACUGCUUUUGGGUCUGCUUUACAUCGUCACGUUCAAGCAUUCGGGCUUUCCCCUGAGCUUGGUUUGGGUGUUGUUGCUCAUGCUUCAUUCAAACUUGCAAGUGCUUUGGUGAGGUCAUCCUCAGUUUUUGCCCCACCUGGCCACCUUGAGCAUAACAAACUGUAUGUCGAGGUGACCAGCACCAGUUCUCACUGAGACCAGGCUGGGUUUCAAAGCCUGUGGGACUUUUGUUAUACCAACGUGAAGCGUAUAUUGCUCUCAUUAAAUGACCUUUUCCCUCAAGCAGUGAAUAAAAGAUUCAACCACUCCAUCUAAGUGUACUCCAGAACUCAAUACAACUGCACACAUGCUGACCAAGGACUUUUUCUGAAGUUUUCUUGUGCAUUGUCUUUACGAUAGAUAGUUACCUCCAGCACCAAAGGUCGAUGGAGGAUAUGUUUUCAGCUUGUUUGUCUAUCUGUCUGUCUAUCUGUAAGCAGGAUAUCUCAAAAAGUU
This 1897-nucleotide long non-coding RNA is filed under the name Eptatretus burgeri (inshore hagfish). RNAcentral's name for it is "lncRNA (ENSEBUG00000017288.1)". Lineage: Eukaryota; Metazoa; Chordata; Myxini; Myxiniformes; Myxinidae. The record is from RNAcentral.